RNAcentral lists this small RNA (539 nucleotides) under Pan troglodytes (chimpanzee). RNAcentral's name for it is "processed transcript". The record is from RNAcentral. Lineage: Eukaryota; Metazoa; Chordata; Mammalia; Primates; Hominidae.
AGCGAUAGGCACAGAGGAAGGUAGAUGAAGCCCUGCGCCCCCCGGAGCCCAGCCCUGUUCACCGCGUGCUGUGCGGGUGCCUGUGCCAGGAUCAGCUGACUGGACGGCUAUAGCCCCACGCCUGCAGGCCACAUACCUGGGAGAGUGUGGGCCUUCCGAGCCUUCUGGCUCCCGGCCCCACAGAGGAAUUACGGUCCCAUGUCCCUCACAAGGACCCUUGCAGAGGGAGCAGCCGGGCUGAGGCUGCGGGUCCCUUGUGGCCGCCAGGUGCUCACGCGUGCCUCGGUGGGGAUCUGGCAGCCAGAUUUGGGCCGCGGCGAGUCCUUUGCACAUGUUGGCAACACACGCGUCCGCAUCGGCCUCCCUGCCCACAAAGCGCCACAACGGUGACCAACCAGAGCAGCCGGAGCUGAAGCGGAUCAAGACAGAAGACGGCGAGGGCAUCGUCAUUGCCCUGAGUGUGGACACGCCACCGGCAGCCGUAAGGGAAAAGGGUGUCCAGAACUAGCGACUGGGAGAGCUUUUCUUUAACAAUAUCA